This 496-nucleotide ribosomal RNA is filed under the name uncultured bacterium. Its description in RNAcentral is "partial 16S ribosomal RNA". It matches the Rfam family "Bacterial small subunit ribosomal RNA", at positions 29 to 507 of the family's 1533-position model. The record is from RNAcentral.
ACGAACGCUGGCGGCGUGCCUCAUCCAUGCCAGUCGCACGCUGAAGAGAGGAGCUUGCUCUUCUUGGAUGAGUUGCGAACGGGUGAGUAACGCGUAGGUAACCUGCCUUGUAGCGGGGGAUAACUAUUGGAAACGAUAGCUAAUACCGCAUAACAAUGGAUGACACAUGUCAUUUAUUUGAAAGGGGCAAUUGCUCCACUACAAGAUGGACCUGCGUUGUAUUAGCUAGUAGGUGAGGUAAUGGCUCACCUAGGCGACGAUACAUAGCCGACCUGAGAGGGUGAUCGGCCACACUGGGACUGAGACACGGCCCAGACUCCUACGGGAGGCAGCAGUAGGGAAUCUUCGGCAAUGGGGGCAACCCUGACCGAGCAACGCCGCGUGAGUGAAGAAGGGUUUCGGAUCGUAAAGCUCUGUUGUAAGUCAAGAACGGGUGUGAGAGUGGAAAGUUCACACUGUGACGGUAGCUUACCAGAAAGGGACGGCUAACUACGUG